CCUACGGGUGGCAGCAGUGAGGAAUAUUGGACAAUGGGCGGAAGCCUGAUCCAGCCACGCCGCGUGAGGGAAGAAGGUAUUGCGUACCGUAAACCCUUUUUGUCAGGGAACAAAGGAGGGGACUAGACCCAGGAUGAGGGUCCAUGCAGAAAAAGCAUCGGCAAACUCUGUGCCAGCAGCAGCGGUUAUACGGAGGAUCAGGGUGUUAUCCGGAUUUAUUGGGUUAGAGGGGGGCGCAGGCGGCCUGCUAAGUCAGAGGGAAAAGCCCGGGGCUCAACCCCGGCGAGCCGUGGAAACUGGCGGGCUGGAGUAGGAGAGAAGUACGCGGAAUGCGCGGUGUAGCGGUGAAAUGCUUAGAUAUCGCGCAGAACGCCGGUUGCGAAGGCAGCUCACUGGACUGCAACUGACGCUGAGGCUCGAAAGUGUGGGUAUCAAACAGGAUUAGAUACCCUGGUAGUC
RNAcentral lists this ribosomal RNA (459 nucleotides) under uncultured bacterium. RNAcentral describes it as "partial 16S ribosomal RNA". It matches the Rfam family "Bacterial small subunit ribosomal RNA", at positions 338 to 795 of the family's 1533-position model. The record is from RNAcentral.